AAAACGACUCUCGGCAACGGAUAUCUAGGCUCUCGCAUCGAUGAAGAACGUAGCAAAGUGCGAUACUUGGUGUGAAUUGCAGAAUCCCGUGAACCAUCGAGUUUUUGAACGCAAGUUGCGCCCGAAGCCAUUAGGCUGAGGGCACGUCUGCCUGGGCGUCUC
RNAcentral lists this ribosomal RNA (162 nucleotides) under Primula alcalina. RNAcentral's name for it is "5.8S ribosomal RNA". It matches the Rfam family "5.8S ribosomal RNA". Rfam says of the family: 5.8S ribosomal RNA (5.8S rRNA) is a component of the large subunit of the eukaryotic ribosome. It is transcribed by RNA polymerase I as part of the 45S precursor that also contains 18S and 28S rRNA. Lineage: Eukaryota; Viridiplantae; Streptophyta; Magnoliopsida; Ericales; Primulaceae. RNAcentral also lists the same sequence under 1 other name. The record is from RNAcentral.